CGAUAAGAACAUAGAUCUACGUGGCUUGUUCUGUGUGUGGAGACUGCAGGAAAUGAAGUGAAGGAAUUGCUGGAUGUUCAACUGUGAUGGUCACAGUGACUGAUGUUUACAUGCUGACAGGACCUGUAAGUGACAGGAUGUGGAAACUCAUGCUGUGGUGCUAGUGGUUCCCAGAGUGUGUGAUCUCGAUACAGUGGCUGCCGACCAUUCCAGACACGCUUCUGGUCCGAUGCCCCUCCUGACUUUGUGGGCUGGUGGGAGACAGAGCCAACUAUGGGGUAUUCCCAGGAAGAAGGUAGGCAUGCUGCCUCUGUGGUAAAAUUAGAAGUUUCCAAUGAGCUCUAGCACAAAUAGGUGUGUAAA
Psammomys obesus (fat sand rat) is the source of this 363-nucleotide long non-coding RNA. RefSeq lists it as uncharacterized. NCBI's taxonomy places the organism in Eukaryota, Metazoa, Chordata, Mammalia, Rodentia, Muridae. The transcript is spliced from 3 exons. The record is from RefSeq and is a predicted model, not a curated record.